Molecule: microRNA, 21 nt
Filed under: Medicago truncatula (barrel medic)
Lineage: Eukaryota; Viridiplantae; Streptophyta; Magnoliopsida; Fabales; Fabaceae
Description: mtr-miR5255
Source: miRBase by way of RNAcentral
UGACUUGAUAGAGGACAUGGG